CCACAUAUUCUUGAUUAUUGAGAGCCAGUGAAGAAAGAAAACAAAUAUCUGCAGUAAGAGAAAAACAUUGGUAAAGAAGUGAAGGGAUGUGCAGCCGGUUCUGUGGACUUCAGGAAUUUUGCAAUCAACUCUAAUGAGAUCUGGAUGCAGAGCUAUUCCGAGUUUCCUAUGGAAAUUUUACUGAAUUGCAUUUCAUGAGAUUCUGCUGUCUCCUGGUAAGUGCUGAAGACACAUACAUGGUAUUUUUGUCUUCUUGAAUACAAGAGGAGCUUUGUCAGAUAGCUCUUGAUAGGAUUGUGAGGCCAUGGUCUUUUGGACAGUAAUUUUCCAGAAUUGAGGUCUCUGCCAAUUUGUUUAGGAAUCAGGUUGCACAGUCCCUCUCCCCUUAGCACUUAAUUGUGUUCUUGUCAAUUAGCUAGUCCACAGGGCCUGGAUGCUAUCGGAGGGGAGGCCUCAUCAACCAAAGCCUCAAUCGGAUAAAUAAUAACAGGUGUUAAAAGGAAUCAGGUAAGAGGUCAGGCUUCACCACACUUUGUAGAUAACAUAACAGUGGUGUCA
RNAcentral lists this long non-coding RNA (558 nucleotides) under Anas platyrhynchos platyrhynchos (common mallard). RNAcentral describes it as "lncRNA (ENSAPLG00000018883.1)". Lineage: Eukaryota; Metazoa; Chordata; Aves; Anseriformes; Anatidae. The record is from RNAcentral.